GGUGAUUUCUUCCACCCCAGGAAAGCCACAAUACCCACUUGCAUGAUAGUCAUGCAUUAGCCAUGGUUUUAAACUUGAACCUUUAUUAAAAGUUUGCUUGUUGAAAAGAUGGUUAUCGUUGUUCCGGUGAUGUUUAGAGUUGCAUGUUCACUUUUGUGCUAUGUUGUCUUGUACUCUGUUAUCAUGUUCUACCUGCUAGUAUUACCUUUCAUAUGUUUAUGAUUGCUAGUGGUACAUGUUGAUGUUGGUGAUGGCCAUGCUAGUCAGUAUGCCAUGCUCAGUGGAUAUGAUUUAUUGUUGAUAUGAUGGAUAGUUAUGCGAUACCCUCAUGAUUAUGUUGAGAUCAUGUUCAUGCAUUUUAUCAUGGCUCAGCAUAUUUGCAUUCAAGUUAACCGGAUUAAAUUGAACUUGAACAACUGUUGGCUGAGUCAUGGUGCCACUGAAUCGAUGCUGACCAGUGCAACCACACUUACCGGUAUGGGACGGUCCUAACUGGGUCUAUUGUUCUGCAUCUCGCCGGUGCCUCCAACGAGGGAAGGUUAUGGGCGCGCGCUACCCUGAUCAGGUAGGCGGACAUAAGCCUUGUGUGCCCGUUGUUGAGUUAGUUUUUGGAUCCGGGUCCCAGAGUGGGACGGGCCACGAUGGUGGUCGUUGUGUCUUGAGGUAGACACGAGGCCACCCAUGACUUAUCCCAGAGGGGAGUUGGUCGGAGUGGCCGGGAGAGUGUCAUGGCAGUAGAUCGGUUUUGUCGGAACGUCGUUGGUCCACCCGAAUGGGAGUGCGAGGCCAUGGGUUCUGUAAUGUGGGUACAAUGUACUAACCUCUGCAGAGUGUAUAUUAAAUCUAUCGAUAGCCGCACCCACGGAUAAGGGCCCAUGUCAAAAGUAGGUCACACCAUGAGUCAACGGUAAUAAGAAUAAUGUGCUUAAUAAUAAUGAGAUAAGUUGGUUGUGAUCGCCGUAAGGAUCACGGGCCAUUUAUUGGUCGGGUUGUGAUCGCCGUAAAGAUCACGGGUCAUGUAUUGUUCGGGUUGUGAUCACCGUAAGGAUCAUGGGCCAUGUAUUGGUCGGGUUGUGAUCGCCGUAAGGAUCAUGGGCCAAGUGUUGGUCGGGUUGUGAUCGCCGUAAGGAUCACGGUUGGAGAGCAAGUGUUGGUCGGGUUGUGAUCACCGCAAGGAUCACUAUGGUAUCGAGGUUACCGAGUUGUUGUAUAUUCGUGAUGUUGUGCGAGUAAAUAUCAAGCCCCUUGUGGUCAUUUAAUUAUUACUAUGGUAUAGUUUAUACCAAGCUUGAUUUGAUCCUAAGAUGAUUGUGUGAUGUCCGAGGUCGGUAAGUGAUGCAUGUGAUGGUUACAAGGUAGCCCGAGCAGAAUAAGUGGUGCAUGUAGUGACAUCAUGUUGCAUGAUAGUAUUGUCGGAUUAAUAUGUCCAUGCCAUGUUCAUGUUGUGUUAAAUGUAUCAUGUUCAAGUUGUUCAUGCUAUAUUGUUCUGAUGAUAUCAUGUUAAAUUCUGCCUAACCUGUAAUUGCCAUGCUGUUGUCUGCCUUGAAUGCUUCUGGUUUAUGGUGAGCUUGCAAGUACAUUCAAUGUACUGACCUGGCGUGUCAUGCCUAAAUAUUUGUCCUAAGGAUCUCAUAAACCCCAGGACCGUAGUCCUUGCUACCCUAAGCCUACCAGACAUCAAUUCUACCAUUUACCCUCUCUGGUUUUACCUCUAGGAUGUUGCCAAGUUUGCAACAGUAAUCUUGUGGAGCUCGGUUUACUCAUCUCCCUUUGUCUCUGCCCGCGUGGGACCCGCACGACAGCGUUGAACAGCCCCGGCCCUGCCCCGCCACGUCAGCAUAAGUGGAGACGUAAUCCACCAGAAUGCAUUUUUAGUUUUCUGUCCAGGCCCAUGUUUGAAAGUAUUUUUCUUGCAGAUAGGUCCCUGACAGAAAAUACGCCAUAUCUUUUUAUCGGUAACAACAAACGAGGUGAUUCCAAAGCCUACUUCUUUGUUUCGUCGAGCCCGUUCUAUUCGUUUCAUUUUUACUAUGGUUUGACCCUAUGAAAAUGACAUUUUUGCCCUUGCACGUAAACAGCCCCUUCGAGAGAGAACUGUUUCCGGCAAAUCUUUCCCCAACCCGACCAACUCGUGGCCUGUGAUCCUUACGACAAUCACAACCCGACCAACUCGUGGCCCGUGAUCCUUACGGCGAUCACAACCCGACCAACUCGUGGCCCAACUCAACAUGAUGGCCUUACUGCCAUCCUCAGUACAAACUUAGAUUCCUCAGUAAGACAUUGGUACAAGGCAGUACGCUGUGAAUUGACAGCAUAUGGCAGUGAAUCCCAAGAAUCAGAUCCGCAACAUUUUGGGUCAGAAUCAAGAAUCAGUCAGAAUACACGUCUGUCUCAGAAUCAGGUCCUCAUAUAUAUGCAAUGAGCUUACCACCAAGAACUUACAAGUCACGUGGAUGAGGAUCUAAUAACCACAUGAGGAUGAUUAAGAGAAGAAGGCCAUGCAAGUAGCAGAACAACUCGAAGCAGCGGAAUAACUCUAGCAGCGGAACAACGAUGAAGGUGGUGAACUCCACUCCACAAGGACUCUGGCUGGAACGCUUAUCCUAGCUCGCAUGAACAGAAACCACGACAAGCAAGCAAUCAAAUCCAGCAUGACCUGAAAGCUGGCAUGACACGCCAGGUCAGUACAUUGAAUGUACUUGCAAGCUCACAAAAACUAGAAGCAUUCAAGACAGACAACAGCAUGGCAAUUACAGGUUAAAUAGGAAAUAUCAUGAGAUCAUCAAAAUACAUGGCAUGAUCAACAUAACCAUGAUAUAGCUAACACAACAUGAACAUAUUAAUCAGACAAUACUAGCAUGCAACAUGAUGACACUACAUGCACCACUUAUUCCGCUCAGGUUACCUCGUAACCGACACAUGCAUCACUUACCAACCUCGGACAUCACACAAUCAUCUCAGGAUCAAAUCAAGCUUGGUAUAAACAAUAUCGUAGUAAUCAUUAAAUGACCACAAGGAUCUCGGUUUUUACCCAUGACUCUCGCACAACAUCACGUAUAUACAAUGACUCGGUAUCCUUGAUACCACAGUGAUCCUUACGACGGUCACAACCACGACCAACACUUGGUCCCAAACCAUGAUCCUUACGGCGAUCACAACCCGACCAAUAAAUGGCCCGUGAUCCUUACGGCGAUCACAACCCGACCAAUAAAUGGCCCGUGAUCCUUACGGCAAUCACAACCCGACCAAUAAAUGGCCCGUGAUCCUUACGGCGAUCACAACCAUGGGUUGUCAUUAAUCAAGUUAUUCUUAUUACUAUUGACUCAUGGUGUACCCUACUUUCGAACUGGACCCUUAUCUAUGGGCGCGGCUAUCGAUAGAUUUAAUAUAAACUCUGCAGAGGUUAGUACACUGUACCCACACUACAGAACCCAUGGCCUCGCACUCCCAUUUAGGUGGACCAAUGGCAUUCCGACAAAACCGAUCUACUGCCAUGACACUCUCCCGGCCACUCCGACCAACUCCCCUCUGUCUUAAGUCAUGGGUGGCCCUGUGUCUAUCUCAAGACACAACGACCACCGUCGUGGACCGUCCCACUCUGGGACCCGGAUCCAAAAACUAACUCAACAACGGGCACACAAGGCUUAUGUUCGCCUAACUGAUCAGGGUAGCACGCGCCCAUAACCUUCCCUUGUUGGAGGCACCGGCGAGAGACACGACAAUAGAGCCAGUUAGGACUGUCCCAUACCGGUAAGCGUGGUUGCACUUGUCAUGGCUAGCAGCUCCAAAACUCCCACAUAUUACACCCACACCUAUGCCAUCAACCACCCUGGCUUUCCACCCCUUCUUGUCGAGAUGCUCACCAAAGCCUUUGGCGGUAAGACUAGCCCCGAUUACCUGGUGUUCCAAUCGACACCUGUCCCUCACCUUCAUCGCUUUGUUGCAAGAGUGCACAUUAGCCUAGGUCAUGCAGGAGAUAUCCAGCCUUUGGUUUUACAAGGUAGAGCCAUGCCUACCUCUGGUUUAGCCAUUUAGGCCGCUGUUGUGGAGGCCAUCCUUCACCUCCGAACCAACUUCGCGCAUGUAGCAACAAGGCGGGAGUUCUGCUUUUUUCCCACGGUGUUAAACGCAGUAAUGCAGCCUUCUUCCGUUAGCCAAGGAGAUGAUCCUGCUAUCGCUCGCCUGGUACAAUACAUCACUGCCCAGGGGAUGUUGAUUUCAAUGCUGCUUGCUGAGUUUAGAGCCAUGGACAAUAAUGUGGCAUAGCCACCUCACCUGCAUCUGGACCCCUCAUCCACCACCAUCACUGCCUUGUGUGGCACCGCAAGUCGCCACCACCGCUCCACCGCAGCAGGCAAUUACUCCACCAGCGCAAAGCGACGGAGAACCAAGCAUGGCGGAGGACCUCCCCAUGCACCAUCUUCUUCCCCACCUCGAGCCACUACCCGCGCAUUGUCUCAAGCCUGCUCGUUCCUGAUGAGAAUCACCAGGAGGAUCGACGAGCCGACCAGCGUGCCCAGCAGUGCCGCGAGGAACAGCCGUAGAGCCACCAAGAACACCUCCUCGCCGAAGGAGCUCGGCUCGAUCUUGCUCAAACCGAAGAGGUAGUAGAGUGGCAUUGUGUUUGUGUGUUGGAUGCGAGCCGCGCUACCAUUUUUAUAGCCCAACCCCAGUGUACGGUGAGCAGAGUCCAGGAAAAUUGCCCGUCACUCGAUCACUGGCAUCCAGGAGGCGAAUCUGCGAGCAGUGCCGACAAGGUGCUGGCCUGCGACGCGAGUGCUGGCUGCACCGGCGCCGUGCACGCCACGCACUACGGCACUAGGGUCUGCAUCGCCCUAGGAUCUAGAUGUACCCUGCGUCAAGCCGCACGCGAAGCAACAGCAUAGACAAAGCAGUUAGCCGGAGAUAGAAGAAGGAGGCUGCCAGUGGGCCCUGGACCCACAUGUCAGCAGGUGAGUCCACUGUUCACUGGGUGCAUCUAGCAAUUUUGCGAGAGUUUGAUCUCGAGUGCCCCUAGCCGUGGAUAUAACCGUGUUUUCCCAUAUCUCUUCCUGGGUACCAAUUAUCGGUGCCCCAACUCAUUCGAAUUUUACCAAAGGGUUAGAUUUUAAUCCAGAGGUUUUUCCCGGAGUGGUUAUCUUUUCUUUGUGCUGUAACCCUAGGAAUCUCGAGGACGAGAUUCUUUUAAGGGGGGGAAGGUUUGUAACAGCCCCAAAAUUGGGUUAUCAAUUUUUGUGCUAUUAUUUCUUCCUACCACUCAUUUUUCAAAAUAUUUCUCCUGAGUUUUUCUGAUGACUCUAAGAAUUCUUGUCAUUUCCAACCUUUCAAAGCUUGCUCCUGUCUUUUUCAGUGGGCAAGACCUCAUUUGCAUCAUCUUAAACCCUCUCAAACACUAAUUCCAAAUUUUUGGGGAUUUGAAUAUGCCAUUUGUGAUUUCAAAGGGGCUAUCAUUUUCCCUGAUCUGUUGAUCACCCCAUCUAUUCCUAGAGACUCUCCUAUCCUUCUCAACCUUGGAUAUGCAAAAUUAUUGCCAAGUCCCAUGCAAUAUUUUAGAAGUAUGAUUUAUUCCUUUUCUUGCCUUUCUGAGGAAUAAAAUCCAAAGGCAUAGCUAGCCAUCGACUAAAUUCAUGUGAAUUGGUGGAGUUGAUAAUUAUGCCUAAUCCAAGCUCUGUCAAUUAUAUUGGCCAUAAUUAAAUAAGGAAAAUUGCCUUUUUCUUAUUUUAUGCCAAUAUUGCAUUUCUGCCAUUUUCUAAAGGAACUACUAUUUUUAUAGCAGAUAAAAUUCUCACAUAAAUUGUGGAGUUUGCCCUUCAUUUAUAAUCACUAGUUCCAUCUUUAUCUCAUGCUCCUCAGAUCAAAAGUUGGGCACAUGAUCCAAUGCAAGUUUCUGCCUUCUCUAAAAUGUUGCAAAGGAAGUGCUUUAUUCCUAAUUCCAUUUGAGCUGCAAAUUGACAGGGUGAUUAAUAUUGAUAAAUAACCCAUGGAUACCAAAGAUGAGCUCAAUCCAAUCAUCUUAGCUCCCUGUGCAGUUCUCCAAAGUUCCUGACUAGAUUAAAAUUUUGUGAAGGAAGUACCUUCAUAGGGAUUCCAAAUGGGAUGAAACUUUGCCAUCCUCUCAAGUAUCCCAAAUCAUUAGCUUUCACCAAAAUUCAGCUCAUUUCAUUGAGCUAUGUGAGCACAGGAAGAAUUCUUGUUCUCUGUCCAAAUUUUCAGGUUGUGAAGCAAGUAUAUUUUAUCUUGCUCCAUUAUGUCUGAAAAUAUUUCCAAGCCUUCUCCUGUCCAUAUAACCCACCUAACCAUGAGUUUGGCUAAUUUUAUUUAGCCAAUAGUUUCUUAGAAUUUUCCCAAGUUUCUGGUCCAAAGUGAUGCUUGUGAAGAAAGUACCAAUUUGGUAAGUCCAUUUGGUGUGAUCUUUUUACAGCAUCUACUUAUGACCAAAUCAUUAGGAUUUGCCAAGUUAUAGCUCAAUCCAACACCCCUAGUGAGUGCUUCAUCAUCAUUUGGUUUCUGGACAUAUUUUAGCAGUUGUUAAGCAACUAUGCUAAAUAUUUGUCCUAAUGACCUCAAAACUCCCAGGACCGUAGUCCUUGCUACCCUAAGCCUACCAUACAUCAAGUUUACCAUUUACCCUCUCUGGUUUUCUCUCCAGCAUGUUGCCAAGUUUGCAGCAGUAAACUUGUGGAGCAUGGUUUACUCAUCUCCUUUUGUCUCUAUCCAAAUAUUUACCGUAGUAAUACUCCACUCUGGAAGGACUACGUGGUAGACAUGAUUUAACCUCAGUAAAAUCUCCAGAGCGCGCCAUGCCAGUGGUGACCACGAGAGAUGCCAGCAAAAACGAUGGUCUAGCCACUGUUCUCGUCGGCAGCGCUGCUCCGACCGUCCCUGACCUCGCCAUUAUUGUCCUACAACUCCCCCUCAUCAAUGUCGUUCGCCUGGACCCCGCUCCCCCUCCGUUUGCUUCUCCGACGAGUCAUGCCAAGAGCCGAGCUGUGCGCCCGUGGCCAUCGUCUUCUUCCUCUCUUCUAUUUUCUUCCCCUUCUCGUCCGCGAGUGCCCCUCGUCUCCGUGAGCCUCUGGCGCUCGUCGUGAUCCCCCUCGUCGCCUUCCCACUACCUCCUGUGAGCCCUGGCCGCGACUGCCGACGACUGCGCCAUCGCCAAUGCACGGACACGUCACCCGCCGUGUACCAGCUCGCCCCUCCCCCUCAAGCUCCCCCGCGGCUAUAAGUAGCAAGCCCCGAGCCUUCCUUGCAGUCCCCAAUCCUCUCGCAGCUCUUCCCCUCGCCCGGAGCUUCUCUGGCCCCCUCCCCAUCGCCAUGGCCGCCGCCUCGGUCUUCUCAGGUUCCGGCAACCAGGGCAUCCCCUCGCCGUUCCUCCUCCACCACCGCUUCCCCCAUACUCUGGCAAGUCUCCCCAUGGCCUCAGCCUCUCCGUUCCCCCACCGUAGCUCCAUCCUCGCCAGAGGCCGAAGAUCCUCUCCGCCGCGGCCCCUGCUGCUCCCUCUCAAGUGUUUGUCGCCGGCAACGGAGACUACCCUGGGGUGCGCCUCCUCCUCCUGAUCCCGUGGGUAGGUCACCCGUCGCCUGCCAUGGCCGGACGCACCGGCGAGCGCCGUCGGGGCGGGCGUCUCCCCUCGGCCCGGCGCGCAUCAAGCGGAGAAGAAGGAGCCGGCCAGGUGGGCGUUGACCUGGCCAGGCGGGCCCCACGACCCCACCUGGCAGCGACCCAGACGCCGACCCCGCCUCUGCCCUUUGACCCGGUCAUUGCCACGUCAGAUUAGUGGAGGCGCCCUGCUAUGAAGCCGUUUUCCUGAUUCAAAGACGUAUUUCAGAAAAUGCGCAUUCAAAAUUAUCCUCCCGGGGCCUGCUUGCUGAAAUAUUUUCACCGAUAAGUCCCUGAACUUCAACCCUUCGUAUCUCGACAACCGUAACUCCGAUUGAGGUAAAUCCAAUGCCCAUGUCUUUGUCUCGUCGAGCCCGUUCCGUUCCCAGCAUUUUCACUAUGUUUUGACAUACUGAAAAUGACCAUUUUGCCCUUGUCCGUAAACAGCCCCCUUCGAGAGAGAACUGUUUCCGGCAAAUAUUUCCGCGGUUGUUUCUCACUUCUUCCCGGAGUAUUUGUCGACCCCCAGGCAAGCCAACCUCUUAUCAUGAGCCCUGAACUUGCAUGUUGACUUUGCUUGCACCUUGUGUGUGUGUAGUUGCAGUUGUUUCUUAUCGUUUUUGUCUGCAGUUAUUUUAUUAUGCUUACCAUGCAUGCUUGUGUGUUCAUGAUAUCUUUUACCAAGCUAGUUAGAAUGUUGUUAUUGAUGAUGCCAUGUCACUACUCUAAUUUAUUUUCAUGUCAUCGUUAUAAAAUGCUAUGAUGAUGGUAAUGCACCAUGGAUAUGUUAGUACUUGGUAUUGUCAUGUUCUGUAUGCUGUAAGUGUUCACUUGAGAACCUCGAUGUUUUGUUAAAGCAUUUGUAUGAUGUAUGCUCAUUGUUGCAUUCAUGUUCAUGAUGAUGGAGAAGGAAUUAAAAUGACUUAAUAAUAACAAACCUCCUCCUUCAUCAAUGGGAUCGAGGCAUAGUGCCGCCAAAUCAAACUUUUUCCAGUGCAACCACAUUUGCCGGUAUGGGACGGCCUUAAUGCGGACUAUUGUCGUGCCUCUGGUCGGUGCCUCCAACUAGGGAAGGUUAUGGGAGCGCGCUACCCUGAUCAGGUAGGCGGACAUAAGCCUUGUGAUCCCGUUGUUAAGUUGAGUUUUGGUACCGGGUCCCAAUGUGGAUCGUGGCCACGACGGUGGUCGAGGUGUCUGGAGGUAGACAUGGGGCCACCCAGGCGGAACAACGACGAAGGUGGUGAACUCCACUCUGCAGGGACUCUGGUUGGGACACGAUCUAGCUCGCAUGAAUGGAAACCAAGACAAGAGCCUCUGGAGCCGCCCCAUGCCGCCGUCGUCUUCGUCUCCGGCAACCUUCGCCCUCUGCCUCCGCUGGAGAGGACGAUCCCGACGCCGUCCAGUCACUCUAGCUAUGCUACAAGUACGGGCAGGUGCGCAAACUUCUCCUCUGUCGAUCCCCCCCUCUCUAUUGACUCCAAGAAGCCUCAUCGUCGGCAUGUCCUCCGGCGAAGCGCCGCCUCCCUUUGUUUCCCUCUCCCCUCCCUCUGGCCUUACUAGCGAGGCCCGCUAGUCAGCGACUCAUUAUGUGUGCGAAGGGGUAUNNNNNNNNNNNNNNNNNNNNNNNNNNNNNNNNNNNNNNNNNNNNNNNNNNNNNNNNNNNNNNNNNNNNNNNNNNNNNNNNNNNNNNNNNNNNNNNNNNNNNNNNNNNNNNNNNNNNNNNNNNNNNNNNNNNNNNNNNNNNNNNNNNNNNNNNNNNNNNNNNNNNNNNNNNNNNNNNNNNNNNNNNNNNNNNNNNNNNNNNNNNNNNNCCAGGAACCUUCAUACAGCCACAACUUUUUAUCUAUGAGUCCAAAUGCAUUGAUUCUUUUUGCAUUGUGUUCUUUGACCAAAAAUCUAACAACACCCAAAAGAUGGGAUUUUUCCUUGUUGUCUAGAUUUUAUGGUAAUUUUCAGAAGGUUUCUUGAUGUUUCCUUUUUGUGGUUUUGAUUAUUUUCAGAAGAGCCAGCUUGUCUUGAGGAUCACCAGGAGCUUUGUGAACCUCAUCAGCACUAAGGCAAGCCACAACAACAUUUUCAUAGUGCCACUUCAAUAUUUGUGAUUUUCCUACUUGAACUUAUGAAUAUUUUUGCAUUUAAAAGCAGUUAUAUAAUGAUUAAAUUCUGUUAGAUGCUUGUCAUGUUAAAAUGCUUGAAUUACAGAAAGUUUGAAAUAAAUCUUGAUGAUAAGCUAAGAAGAACUUAGUUACAAGUAAUGAAUUAAGGAUAUGAUCAUGGAGUUUAAUAAUUAGUUUAAUUAUUAUCUUUGCAUCAUGAAAAAUGAGGAGAUUGCUAGAAAUGAUUCUGGUUUAAGUGAGGUGUGAUCUUAACCAGAGAAGUAGCAUGAGUUGAUGAUGGCUCCGUGGGAGCGUGGUUGAUUCAGUUAUUUGCAUGGUUACUUGAUGCAUGUGUUAAGUGAUGCAUAGCAUGGCAUUAUGACACCGGUUAUUUUCACAUUAAGUUGAACCUGAUAAGUAACUCAACUUGAAUAUGUUGUUGACCGGGUCAUGGUGCCGCUGAAACGAGUCUUUCCUAGUGCAACCAUAUUUGCCGGUAUGGGACGGCCUUAAUGCGUUUCAUUGUCGUGCCUCUGGUAUGUGCCUCCAUUUAGGGAAGGUUAUGGGCGUGCUGUACCCUGGCCCGGUAGGUAGGCAUAACCUUGUGAGUCCGUUGUUAAGUUAAGUUUUGGUACCGGGUCCCAGAGUGGAUCGUGGCCACGAAGGUGGUCGAGGUGUCUGGAGGUAGACACGGGGCCACCCAGGACUAGCCUGAUGGGGACUGAGUCGGAGUGGCCAGGAGAGUGUCAUAACAAUGAAAUGGUUUCGUCGGAAUGCCGUUGGUCCACCCGAAUGGGAGUGCGAGGCCAUGGGUUCCGUAGUGUGGGUACAGUGUACUAACCUCUGCAGAGUGUUUUAAUCAAUCGAUAGCCGAGUCCACGGUUAUGGACACGCUCGAAAGUAGGGCACACCAUGGGUCAACACUUAAUUUUGCACACUAAGUUUGUACUGAGGAUGGCAGUAAGGCCAUCGUGUUGAGUUGGGCCAUGAGUUGGUCGGGUUGUGAUCGCCGUAAGGAUCACGGGCCAUGAGAUGGUCGGGUAGUGAUCGCCGUAAGGAUCACAGGUUUGUUGUCGGGUUGUGAUUGCUGUAAGGAUCACGGGUUUGUUUUUGAGAUAUGCACGUUGGUGGUCCAGAAAUGAUCACGUCCGGUAAGCAAGUCUGUGGGACGAGUAUCAGUUGAGCAUAUUCACAGCAUGUUGGAUAUAUUGUUGCAUUGAUGUUAAAUGGUUAAAUGUCAUGAUAUUGUUUGUCAUUAUGUGUGUGCUUGUUGUGAGCUUGCAAGUAAAUUCAAUGUACUGACCUGGCAUGUCGUGCCAGAUUUCAGGAAAGUCUCGUUGGAAAGGAGUGUUGUCCGAGUCUAGAUCGUGUCCACAUCGGUGUCCCUGUGCUAUGGAGUUCCACUACGACAUUGUUCCGAUGUCGUAUCUCGACAACCGUAACUCCGAUUGAGGUAAAUCCAAUGCCCACGUCUUGUCUUGUUGAGCCCGUUCCGUUCCUAGCAUUUUCACUAUGGUCUGACAUACUGAAAAUGACCAUUUUGCCCCUAUCCAUAAACAGCCUGCUUCGAGAGAGAACUGUUUCCGGAAAAAAUUUCCUAGGUUGUUUCUCACUUCUUCCCGGAGUAUUUUUCGACAUGUUUGCUUGUUGAAAAGAUGGUUAUCGUUGUUCCGGUGAUGUUUAGAUUUGCAUGUUCACUUUUGUGCUAUGUUGUCUUGUACCCUGUUAUCAUGUUCUACCUGCUAGUAUUUCCUUUCAUAUGUUUAUGCUUGCUAGUAGUACAUGUUGAUGUUGGUGAUGGUCAUGCUAGUCAGUAUGCCAUGCUCAGUGGAUAUGAUUUAUU
This 11539-nucleotide long non-coding RNA is filed under the name Triticum aestivum (bread wheat). Its description in RNAcentral is "long non-coding RNA (TAES_LNC003469)". The record is from RNAcentral. Lineage: Eukaryota; Viridiplantae; Streptophyta; Magnoliopsida; Poales; Poaceae.